This 478-nucleotide ribosomal RNA is filed under the name uncultured Planctomycetota bacterium. RNAcentral's name for it is "bacterial SSU rRNA". It matches the Rfam family "Bacterial small subunit ribosomal RNA", at positions 364 to 832 of the family's 1533-position model. The record is from RNAcentral. Lineage: Bacteria; Pseudomonadati; Planctomycetota.
UUUCGCAAUGCCCGAAAGGGUGACGAAGCGACGCCGCGUGCGGGAAGAAGGCCUUCGGGUUGUAAACCGCUGUCGGGAGUUAAGAAAUGUAAGGAUGUUAAUAGCAUCUUUGCUUGACUAAGGCUCCGGAGGAAGCCACGGCUAACUCUGUGCCAGCAGCCGCGGUAAUACAGAGGCGGCAAGCGUUGUUCGGAAUUAUUGGGCGUAAAGAGCACGUAGGCGGCUAUGUAAGUCGGUUGUGAAAGCCUUCCGCUCAACGGGAGAACAGCAUCCGAUACUGCAUGGCUUGAGUGCAGGAGGGGAGAGUGGAACUUCUGGUGGAGCGGUGAAAUGCGUAGAUAUCAGAAGGAACGCCGGCGGCGAAAGCGGCUCUCUGGCCCAUAACUGACGCUGAGUGUGCGAAAGCUAGGGGAGCAAACGGGAUUAGAUACCCCGGUAGUCCUAGCCGUAAACGAUGGGCACUAAGUAGAGGGGUUUU